Molecule: ribosomal RNA, 207 nt
Filed under: uncultured bacterium
Lineage: Bacteria
Description: partial 16S ribosomal RNA
Rfam family: Bacterial small subunit ribosomal RNA
Source: RNAcentral
AGCGUAGAUGGAUGUUUAAGUCAGUUGUGAAAGUUUGCGGCUCAACCGUAAAAUUGCAGUUGAUACUGGAUAUCUUGAGUGUAGUUGAGGCAGGCGGAAUUCGUGGUGUAGCGGUGAAAUGCUUAGAUAUCACGAAGAACUCCGAUUGCGAAGGCAGCCUGCUAAGCUGCAACUGACAUUGAGGCUCGAAAGUGUGGGUAUCAAACA